UUUAAUUGUUUCUCCGGUUUCUUGUUUUUGUUUUCGUUAAACGUUUUUCGCGUCCGUGACGUCCUGCGUGUGACGACUGCGUUCCGUCGGUGAUCGUUUUCUUCAUUCGCGUUGUCACUUGUCUACAUUUUACCUUAAAUUAACGGCGGUCGCAACGUCCGGCGAACCUCUCGUCACGCAAUUCGGACGCGCGUCGUCGCAGGUGUUUGUUAUUUUUUUUGACCGCCAACGACGGGAUUCACGUAACACGUCAUCGUUACAUUUUGUUUACAACGCUCAAAUAAUUGUCUGCCUACUUUUAUGUUUCCCUGGGACAUUCAUCACAAACUGUUUGUACGACGGAUUUUGAAUGACAAGCAAACCGGCGUCGGCCGUCGCCAACGGUCAACGAUCGAUUAUAGUAUAUUGUUCCUGAUUUUGGAUGUAAUAGGCGUUAAGAGGACAUGAUACCCACAUGACGUGUUGUCUCCGUCUUACAAGUGCGUAACAUAGCAAAUUUACUCUCAGCAGAUCACGCUUAGCUCUGUUAACUUAUGAAAUCUUAAGGCUCGGUCAAAUAGAGAGUGUGCUGCCAUGGUCUACGGGUACGCUAAUCGCGGCGGGCAGCAGUCGGUUGGCAGACCGCUUUCUGUUUGACUGAGCCUUAAAGGUAAGAUUAUUAUCUAGACAGCCUCUUGGGCUUUUUAUCAUAUUUUAAUUUUUAAGCGAGUUAUGAGUACCUACUCUAAGACGUACAAAUUACAAUUUUAAAAUACUCUUAUCUCACUUUAAAAUUAAAACAUAAUGAAACGCCCAUGAUGUUGCCUAGAUAAUAAACUUAAGUUAAAAUUUUAUAAGAGGUCAAUUAACUCUAGUUUUUAAACUAACGGUGCUACACCUGUUCUGCUGAGCGUAGAAUUUGCUAUGUUACGCACUAGUAAGACGGAGACAACACAUGCGGGUAUCACGUCCUUUUAAUCAUAAUAUAAAAGCGUCCGGUGCCAAUGUAAUUUUAUACCCAAAAAUACGCUCUGCGGGAAUAAUGGUCCUGUUCUGUAGAAUCAACCAUACUUGAUAGGCGUUGUCAUGACCAGUGCGACAGUGGAUAACACGUUAUUAACCAGUACAAAAGGCCAUACCACAGGACUGGACAAUCAGUUGCGUUGCCGUAUUCGUUGUGUGUGCACCACGGUUAAAGCACUGUUUGCGUGCGUUUAUGUUACCAUUUUGUACCUACUGCACAGGCAAGUUGAGUUUAGUUUGUCACCGUCACUUCAACGUCGCUCCACUGUCAUUUUGUCACCAGCAUCACGGAGCAACAUCAAAGCUGCCAUACCCGCUCCGCCUGGAGCACCCCGGUAUGUCACAAAUGAAUCUACACGAAGCCAAGAUUAGCCCAGGAGUUCCAUUUUUCUCAAAAAUUUAUCAAAGUAAGAAGUUUCUAGUGAUUCCCUAUAAUAAUUUUAUGUUUGUUACCAGUAGACGUUUUGACGAUUAACUAUAAUUCAACCAGCAUGAUCAAUGGAAUAAUGAUUGAAUUCAGUGACUUCGUUUUAUGGUACAAAUACAUUGACAAAAUGCAUGAUAAAGCAACAGCAGAAACGACUAUAGAUAUCAAGUAUGUUCUAAAUUAAUUGUCCAAUUAAUUGCCUUGAUCACAUUGCGAAAGACCAUAAUCAGCCACCUCAAUCAACCUCAAAUGGAGAAAGAGAAACUGAAGAUUCUUGUCCGGUUACAACUAGAGUUAUGAAACCGGAACCAUCCACGACUCAAGAAAAUAUUCAGCAAGGGAGUCUCCUAUAGAUGAGGACAAAAAUCAACAGGAUUACAACAAAGGCACUGUCAAUACAGAUAUGACGUCGAAUGACAACGUCUUCGCUCAAGGAUCUGCAGAUGUUAAAAAAAGAAGAAACUCCAUACAGUGUUAAAAAAAGUCUAUGUAGUUUAUGUUAGCCACAUUCUAUAAUGAUAAUCCUUCAAACAGUGGGGGUUAGUUAAAACAAAGCUUAAGUUGUAUAAAACUUAAUUAAUAGUUAGUAAUCAAUUUUAUUUUUAUAAGCUCCAGUUUUAUAAUUUAUAAUUUCCCUUGAGGUUUUUUUUAUAUUUUCUUGUCAAUAUCUUUUAAGUGGCAUAAAUUAGGAGACUGUAUUAUUAAUUAUAAUAUAAGAAAUUAAACCACUAUUUUUUUAUAUAUAUAAAUUUUUUAGAUGAGGAAUAUAUUUAAAAGUGACACUUAAACA
This is a long non-coding RNA of Metopolophium dirhodum (rose-grain aphid), 2219 nucleotides long. RefSeq lists it as uncharacterized. The transcript has 6 exons. Lineage: Eukaryota; Metazoa; Arthropoda; Insecta; Hemiptera; Aphididae. The record is from RefSeq and is a predicted model, not a curated record.